Molecule: long non-coding RNA, 2868 nt
Organism: Pantherophis guttatus
Lineage: Eukaryota; Metazoa; Chordata; Lepidosauria; Squamata; Colubridae
Source: RefSeq, a predicted model, not a curated record
AAAUAGAAGGCUCCUGGAGUUAGAAGGACAUGACCUGAAAUUUUGGUUGCAUGGAUAUUUGUGGUAAUUUUGGUUGCAUGGAUAUUUGUGGAGCUGAAGAAGCUUCUUGGAUGAGAAGCAAAACGUCUUCAAAGAAAAACCAGAAAGUCCAGUUGUCUCUUGAAAAAGCACCUUUGGGACAACCAUGACCUGGAUGACUGAGAAUCUCCAUAUACAUAACAGGAGCUAUGCUACUCUAAUUGCAUGUCCAAGAUGGAAGCCCAGACACUUGGAGGAACACUUAAGACAAUCUCAGAAACUGCGCUGAUAUUUUGGAAGACUUUAUCCCCCAAAGAUUCAGUGAUUACCUCUCCACUCUGACAUUGUGUGAUUUUUAAAAAAAUAUUUCCUAGGUUAUUUUGAAUUAAUGAAAAUUUUGCUUUAUCUGCUGGGACUGUUUAUCUUGCACAUUUAUUGUAUGCAUAUACCUCUUUUAUAUACUAAUAAAAACUAAUAUUACACAUAUAAUAAUACCAUGUUAGCUAAUUAAACCAUUCACCUUUAAGUUAAUUAAGAAAAAGAAAAAAGGGAAAUGAAGAGAAAUACAGAGAUGGCCUUUAAGUAGGUAUUGUAGUUAUUACAAAAAACAUCAAUUUAGUCAAAAAGAUUGAAAGGGACGAGGAAGGAAGUGAACAUUGUCCCAUUUUAACACUCUUUUUUAUAAGGAUAGAGGGAAAAACUCUCUCAGGCUUUCAAGAGUCCGUUAAAAGAAUCUUCACUUUCAGUUUUAUAAGUUAUAUAAGUUAUAAUAACAAACAAACAGAGUCUCAGUUGUUCUUAUAGUAUCUGUUUCCUGACCUGGUUUACCUCAAACAUUAAAUAAUAUGUUAUGUGACAGCCAACUUUCUAAAUAGUCCGCCAACUGACAUCUAUGGUGAUAAACAUGGUUAAAUAUAGAAAGAGAAAAAAUAUGUAUGAAAAUGAAAGGAUAUAGACCUUUAUAAUAAAAGAAGUGUGAUAAAUGAAGUUGUGUUUGUUGGGCCAAAGAGGAAAUAGAGGAAGAGACAGCAAAAAACUACCAAAAAGGGUGAAGAAGAUUCUGGUGCUAGCCUGUGGUAAUAAUUAAUUAUGGUGUCCAUUUUAUUUUUAGUCUUUCAUUUGGAAUAACAUGAAUAAUACUAGAAGUAUUUGUGAUCCUUUCACUGUAGCUUAGGAUGUGGAUAGGGCAAUUCCACAAAGAAAACUUUUCUGCUCCUAUUAUAUGGUUGUCUAUUUUGCUUUGAGUGCCUAGCAGGAGCCAUGAAGGUUGUCCUCCAACUAUCUUCCCAUUUUAUUCCUUUAUGUUUCUAUAUUUUUAUUUAUUUUUUGUUACAGUAUGUCUUACAUAUCUCUUACAUUGAGAUGUGGUUUUGUUAUUUUGCUUGUAAGCCACCUGGAGUCACUUUUGGUGGAAUGAGCAGCUAUAUAAAGUUGCUAAAUAAAUAAACAAGCAACUUAGUAAAAAAGUGACCUAUAUUAGGAAACUGAUAGAGAUAGUGUUUGUUUCUCUUUCACGAAUCCUCUAUGUAUUCAGAAGUUGAUUGGAAGAUCCACAUGGGAGAAGAGAUUAUAAACAAAUUGCCAACUUUGGCAACUUUAAGACUUGUGGACUUCAAUUUCCAAAAUUCUUCAACCAGUCACAAAGUGCACAAGUCUUAAAGUUGUCAAGGUUGGGCACGCCUUCAUUUCCUAUAGCUAGUUUUCUUUCUCAUCUCACCCUUCCCAGCUGUGUUUCUAUCCAUGGUGGAAAAAAAUAGCUCUAACCAUUCCUUUCUCAGUUGGAAGGGUUCUUUUGCCUGGGUAUCAAAGAAAAGAAAGAUGUAAAGAUGUAAAGAAAAUUAAAGGAUUCAGAAUCUUCAACUAUAUGUCCUUUCCAAUUCAGGGUUUUCCACCGGUGCUUUUUUGUUUUUUUAAGUAACAUUUAAUGUGGAUACAGAAUCGUCAUCAUUUGAGAAGAAAUCUCAUUAGAACAAUUCUGAGUUUUUUUAAAUAAACUUGCCCUUGCUUAUCAUUGUGCUAAACAAUUAUUUUUUAAAAAGUGAGUGAGAUGCAACGUGUAAAGGAAGAGUUGAAAAACAACAGAGUUAAUACAGGAUAGAACUGCUUUUUUGAAAAGUAGUGCUUGAAAAAGUAGAAUCUUGUUUUUGGAAUAAGUUGAUUGGAGGUUAACAUUGGCAGACCACAAUGUAGAGGCAACAAUUCUGUGUAACCACUUUUUUACUUUGUCCAAAAAAGAGAAUUUUAAAAUACUGAAGCAGAAAUAUUGCAGAAACAGAAAUCUGGACUACAUUAGGCAUGUUGCAAUUCUUCCUAUACAGCAUAAAUACAUAUUAUUAAGCUGUUAUUUUAUGGCAGUUUUCUUGAUCAUAUGUGCUUAACAGAUUUGUUGGCAUGGGCCUCUUCAGUAGGGUUGUCCAAAAAGUCAAGAUGGCGUCCUCAAUCACUUGACUGAAACCCCACCAUUUUUUAAUGUGUUCCAUAUAGCUACUCCUGAAUUCUUGAUUUUUUUUAUUCCUGCAGAUACACCUGUUUCUGGAUGACUGCUCCUGUCACAUUACAAAUUUGGAUUGUGAAUGACAGCUCCUAUCCUCAACUCAUAUGGAAAUUGCCAGGGUGGUUAAGGCAAGAUAUUUAAAAGAUUCUGCUGAUUAUUACUUAAUUACAAGGUCUGCAACAAGAAUGUAGAAACAUGAUCAUCCUUGACUGAUUGAGAAAACAAAGCAAAACAAAACAAAAAGGCAAGUCAUGGCUCAUGGCAGUUUUAGCUUGGAGGUAGCCUGGUUAGAUACCUCCUUAUUAAAAUUUUAAAAAAAUACAUACAAGUGGAAUUAUAUAAUUCCAAAUAUUAAA